GAACAGAAAGUCAGCAGACUCGAGCGCAGCGGUCAGGUGUCUUCCUGCAGGCAGCCCUCGGGGCGCUGGGGGUGGGCGGCCACCCGCCCUGCCUCCACCCCAGGCUCACCUCCCGGGGCCGGCCCUCCUGGAGGUCCCACGAGAAUGUGCCCGGCCCCCAUCUCGGCCUCUGGUGGCGGACCCCAGGCCAGUGGCUUCUCUGGGGAGAUGAGGUCAUCCAAGAGGAGAAGGAACUCACAGGGAAGAAAAUUUCCACUCCAGCUCUUGAGUUACUGACGUAUGGUCGGGACAAAAUGCAGCCCCGGUGACAGGAUGAGCCAGGACACUACUGCUCCGCAGGCCAGGAGUCGGGUCAGACGGACCCGGGUCCGAAUCCCGGGCCCCUCUUUGUGGCUGGGGGUGCCCCGCCCCACAUGCCCUCGACCCCCAUGGACAGGAUGCAGGAGGUGGAGGCAAAUGUCGGCACCAGCCCUUCGGCUGCCCCGUCCAGCCCAUUUCUCCAAUGUUCUCUCAAGAGUGAUGCUCCACAGGGGACGAAUCUGAAGAGGGAGGCAAGGCUCCGGCUCCUUUGGGAGGACUCGGCCACACAGAUGGCAGUGAAGCCCUCGCUGACUUGACGUCGUUGCUCCUGUAAAGCCAGCUGAGAACGGCACGCGGCUGUCCUCAUGUCCUUGACUUAGGCCAGGCAUGCGGAGGACGUGCACACGGGCAUGGCCGGCCGGGAGACGCCUCCUCGCCCUACCGAGAAGGCCGCCUUGCCCCAUCCCUUCUGCUAUAGCAGGAGGAGUGGGCCGCCGUGGGGCUCCCCCAACACCCUGAGCGGCGACGGGGGCCCCGUGAUGUAACAGGCAAAGCUGGCGCAGGAGACGAAAGGCCUGGCUGCCUGUGUCUGUCACUACAGCACGCGUUGCCCUCCGAGCCCUUCAGUGAGAGCUACGUCUGUGUUCCCCUUCCACGUGGAAAGGACGGUCCACACGCGUCACGCUGCAGGAAAAUCACCCCAUGUCUGUUCUGCGGGGUCAUUAUCUAAGCUUCACCGCGCCCCGGAGGGCAGGUGCGGCCUGGCCUCUCAGCCCUCGCUAUGGCCGGAGGUCCAGAGCGCUGCGGACAGCGGCCCGAGGUUACCCAGCAGGUCCCAGGGGCCAGGCCUGGUGGGGCUCCCCUGUGGACCUCGCUCCGCUUCUCUGUGUCAGCAAGACCCUCGGCCUGCCUCAUGCACUCAGCACCGAAUUGUGCAGCUGGGAGUGGGACCCUAACUCAGCCCCCAUUGCUGCGAGGGGUGUUCCCGUUGCUGUUGUGGCUGCUUCUUCCCACCCCACCCCCACUCUAGCCCCACCACCCCGGGUCAAGGUGGCUGCUUGGGAGAGACUAGGGUCCUGCAGGCUUUCCCCACUCGACCUGCACCAACGUCACAGCCCCCUCCCCACCUUCCAAAAGGGACUCAGCAUGCAUAACCCCCACAUUUGCACGUCUACGUUCUGGGUUCUAGCAAUCAUUUCGUUCCUCUGGAGUCAGAAUAAAAGCUCCCCAGGAAGCACCCCCGACAGCGCAGCGGUCGUGUGUCCUUCUCCCGCCUGCAUGGGAGGCUGACCCCGGGCUCCUGGGCUGAUCCUGAGGAUUCCAAAGGGUGCAGGCUGGGCCGG
This is a long non-coding RNA of Canis lupus familiaris (dog), 1643 nucleotides long. RefSeq lists it as uncharacterized. NCBI's taxonomy places the organism in Eukaryota, Metazoa, Chordata, Mammalia, Carnivora, Canidae. The transcript has 3 exons. The record is from RefSeq and is a predicted model, not a curated record.